UACCAGCACCCCGAGUGGUCGGGACGAUUAUUGGGCCUAAAGCAUCCGUAGCCGGUUCUGCAAGUCUUCCGUUAAAUCCAGCCGCUCAACGGAUGGGCCGCGGAGGAUACUAUAGGACUAGGAGGCGGGAGAGGCAAGCGGUACUCAGUGGGUAGGGGUAAAAUCCUUUGAUCCAUUGAAGACCACCAGUGGCGAAGGCGACUCACUGGACACAUAUUGACGCUGAGGUGCGAAAGCGUGGGGAGCAAACAGG
RNAcentral lists this ribosomal RNA (253 nucleotides) under uncultured bacterium. RNAcentral's name for it is "partial 16S ribosomal RNA". It matches the Rfam family "Archaeal small subunit ribosomal RNA", at positions 474 to 727 of the family's 1478-position model. The record is from RNAcentral.